Non-coding RNA from Paramuricea clavata, 209 nucleotides. The record is from the annotation of a GenBank genome assembly. NCBI's taxonomy places the organism in Eukaryota, Metazoa, Cnidaria, Anthozoa, Malacalcyonacea, Plexauridae.
AAAACAACAAAAACACAGAUUUCGCUACCCUGUUUCUCGUACUGCAACAGAGGAAAAGUAAAAGAAAGCUAGCAGACGUAAACUUUAAUAAACGUUUAUCAAGACCACAAUGCAAUUACUUGUCGCAAUCGGGAAAUUAACAGUCAAGAAUUCUUCGCUGAAACAUGGCCGAAAAUGACGUUUCUUGCAAAAUGUGUGUUUUUGAUGGC